UACGUAGGGGGCUAGCGUUGUCCGGAUUUAUUGGGCGUAAAGAGCGCGCAGGCGGUCGUUCAAGUCGCGUGUGAAAGCCCCCGGCUCAACUGGGGAGGGUCACGCGAUACUGAUCGACUCGAAGGCAGGAGAGGGUAGUGGAAUUCCCGGUGUAGUGGUGAAAUGCGCAGAUAUCGGGAGGAACACCAGUGGCGAAGGCGACUACCUGGCCUGUUCUUGACGCUGAGGCGCGAAAGCUAGGGGAGCAAACGGG
This 253-nucleotide ribosomal RNA is filed under the name uncultured bacterium. RNAcentral's name for it is "partial 16S ribosomal RNA". It matches the Rfam family "Bacterial small subunit ribosomal RNA", at positions 524 to 776 of the family's 1533-position model. The record is from RNAcentral.